Molecule: ribosomal RNA, 429 nt
Filed under: Chloroflexota bacterium
Lineage: Bacteria; Bacillati; Chloroflexota
Description: Chloroflexi bacterium partial 16S ribosomal RNA
Rfam family: Bacterial small subunit ribosomal RNA
Source: RNAcentral
UGGGGAAUAUUGCACAAUGGGCGCAAGCCUGAUGCAGCCAUGCCGCGUGUAUGAAGAAGGCCUUCGGGUUGUAAAGUACUUUCAGCGGGGAGGAAGGGAGUAAAGUUAAUACCUUUGCUCAUUGACGUUACCCGCAGAAGAAGCACCGGCUAACUCCGUGCCAGCAGCCGCGGUAAUACGGAGGGUGCAAGCUUUAAUCGGAAUUACUGGGCGUAAAGCGCACGCAGGCGGUUUGUUAAGUCAGAUGUGAAAUCCCCGGGCUCAACCUGGGAACUGCAUCUGAUACUGGCAAGCUUGAGUCUCGUAGGUGGGGGUAGAAUUCCAGAUGUAGCGGUGAAAUGCGUAGAGAUCUGGAGGAAUACCGGUGGCGAAGGCGGCCCCCUGGACGAAGACUGACGCUCAGGUGCGAAAGCGUGGGGAGCAAACAGG